Non-coding RNA from Psammomys obesus (fat sand rat), 459 nucleotides. Lineage: Eukaryota; Metazoa; Chordata; Mammalia; Rodentia; Muridae. The record is from the annotation of a RefSeq genome assembly.
UCUGGGCUCACAUUCAUUGAUCAGCCCUGAAUAUAGAACAUGGGACUGAGCUGGGUUUUCCUUGUUCUUCUUUUAAAAGGUGUCCAGUGUGAGGUGCAGCUGGUGGAGUCUGGCGGAGGCUUGGUGCAGCCAGGAAGUUCCCUAAAACUCUCCUGUGCAGCCUCUGGAUUCAAGUUCAGUGAUUACUGGAUGGACUGGUUCCGCCAGGCCCCAGGGAAGGGGCUAGAGUGGGUUGCUCUAAUUAAACACAAACCUGAUAAUUAUGGAACAGAAUAUGCUGAGUCUGUGAAAGGCAGAUUCAUCAUCUCAAGAGACGAUUCCACAAGCAGCCUCUACCUGCAGAUGAACAGCUUAAGAGCCGAGGACACCGCCAUUUAUUACUGUGUUAGAGACACAGUGAGGCACCUUCAGUGUGAACCCAGACAAAAACCUUCUUGCAGGAACACUCAGGACCGGUAG